Molecule: ribozyme, 267 nt
Organism: Strix occidentalis caurina (northern spotted owl)
Lineage: Eukaryota; Metazoa; Chordata; Aves; Strigiformes; Strigidae
Rfam family: RNase MRP
About the family: RNase MRP is an enzymatically active ribonucleoprotein with two distinct roles in eukaryotes. In mitochondria it plays a direct role in the initiation of mitochondrial DNA replication. In the nucleus it is involved in precursor rRNA processing, where it cleaves the internal transcribed spacer 1 between 18S and 5.8S rRNAs.
Source: Ensembl
GGAUGCUCUGAAGACCUGCUCGCUAGGCCACGCACGGAGAACGCUUGUUUCUCAUGGGCCCCACGCCCGCCUAGGGGAAAGUCCCCGGACCGCCGGCAGAGAGUGCCGGGCGCUGCCCGCGCCCCCGCCUGCCCCCAUCUCACGCAUUCCCCGCCGAGACGCCCCCCGGGCCGAGCGGGUGAGCGCGGGGCGGGCUCUCGUCACGGCCACAGACACGCAGGUAGUGCGCAGGCGCACCAACAGAACGGGGCUCACUCUCAGGCCAUC